CGGGGUGUAGUAUAGUGGUAGUACGUACGUCUCGGGUGCGUAUGGCCCGAGUUCGAUUCUCGGCACCCCGA
This 71-nucleotide transfer RNA is filed under the name bacterium. RNAcentral describes it as "tRNA-Pro". It matches the Rfam family "tRNA". From Rfam's summary of the family: Transfer RNA (tRNA) molecules are approximately 80 nucleotides in length. The record is from RNAcentral.